AUAAGAGAAUGGAAACGCUAAAAACCCCAGCGGUGGUCCCCGAGCUGUGGAUGUCAUAGUCUGUCCGAAGAAUGCUUCGUGACGUGCAUGUAAACAAACAAGGCUCAAUCUCAGUCCUAAGUGGGAUUUUAUUAUCAGUAGGGAGGCUCCUGACAUAGUUAAUUUGUCCUAAAGCCCUCCCUUUGUCGGAAAUCCUGCACCACCCCUGCCCCUAGUC
This 217-nucleotide long non-coding RNA is filed under the name Theobroma cacao (cacao). Its description in RNAcentral is "long non-coding RNA (TCAC_LNC002112)". Lineage: Eukaryota; Viridiplantae; Streptophyta; Magnoliopsida; Malvales; Malvaceae. The record is from RNAcentral.